GUUGCUCUGCUUAAUCUCACUACAAUAUCAUCCACUUGGGCAAGGGUAAUUGAUGUCAUGGACAGUGAGUCAGGUUCAAGAUUGUUUGGUUUUAUUGGGGCUGGUGCUACGCUAGGGCAACUUUUUGGUUCUUUGUUUGCUGCAAGCAUGACAUGGAUGGGACCCUGGUCAUAUCCUUACAGUAGCUGGUAUAACAGUUGCUAUUUGCGCAUCUCCAUUCAUUGCUACCUCAAAUUUGGUUGCCCUUGCUGUAUGGCCAACUUGGGUUGCUGUUGCUGUCACUGAAACAAUUCGAAAGUACCCUGGUGAAGGCACACGGCACUUCUCUUGCACAUCUGAGCCCAGAGGGAUGCAGUAAGAUAAUUGAUGCAAGUCUGUUUGCCAUUUCCGAGAGUUGCUCUGAGCUCGCCGAGCUUGAUCUUUCAAACUGCAUGGUCAGCGACUAUGAUGUUACGGUGUUGGCAUCCGCGGAGCGGCUCAAGCUCCGUCUCCUCUCACUGUCCGACUGUCUCAAGGUCACACCUAAGAGCGUUCCAUUCCUGGGAAGCAUGCCUGCAUCGUUGGAGGGCCUCAACCUAAUAGGUGUCAUAUGCUAAAUGGAUCAAAAGAGAAUGAGACAGUGUCUCAAAUAUUCUAAUUCCGUUGUUUAGUGGAGAUUCAAAUGGAAACCAAGGCUGCAUUAAUCCUAACAAGAACUUCGCUUGGAUGCAGUGAUAUUUUCUGGACAUGAGAAAAAGCAAGGAUUACACAUACGAGACAUAGAGGAUGUGGGUGCGCCGUGCGGGAGUGAUACGUGUCGGCCCUCAUUGUAUGUUCAUGUCCUACUCUUGUGAUGCUCCGAUGGUCUUCUCCACAGGCGAGCCCUACCACACCUUUGAGCUAUGGCAAUUCUACAUCCUAUAAUACAAACAUGGAAUCUGGAGGAGGAAAUGUAACACAUCGCUCUUGUCUCAGUGGCUGAGGACGGGGGUUUGGGGCUAUGGCUAUUGGCAUUGGGCCAAACCUUUGUGGUGGGGAGAUCUAGGCAUAUUUCAGCUUAUAUUUGGAAGCUUGACUGAGUUUCAACUAUCUAUCUUUUGGCGUAGUCGAUGCCACAUGGUGGUCACGGGAGAUCGCUGGCCUCUUCUCAGUGAGAUCUAUUUAUGCGGCUCCGAUGAGCGACGGGCGAUGACGGCGGCGCGUCUUCGGCUCGCUUUAGUGCUUGCAGUCGUCGCUAUGUGCUCUAUGAAUCUGGAUGUAUUUUUUAUUAUUUUUGGUGUUUGUUGUACUACAAUGUAUGAAGAUGAUAGAUCGGAUGUUUCCCUAAAAAAAGUCUAAGCUCAUGUUUUUUCUAAAUUUGGAGGAUAGGAACCAAUCCUAUGUAGGAAUAGGAAUCCAUACAUAUAUAUUAACCAAAGGGAUCUAAAAGAAAUUCCUAGAAAAAUAUUAUUCUAUAGAAUUUCUAUGAAAUUCCUCCAGUAUGGUGUUGCUUA
Hordeum vulgare subsp. vulgare (domesticated barley) is the source of this 1472-nucleotide long non-coding RNA. RefSeq lists it as uncharacterized. Lineage: Eukaryota; Viridiplantae; Streptophyta; Magnoliopsida; Poales; Poaceae. The record is from RefSeq and is a predicted model, not a curated record. The transcript is spliced from 6 exons.